GACGAACGCUGGCGGCGUGCUUAAUACAUGCAAGUCGAACGGAAAGGCCCUGCUUUUGUGGGGUGCUCGAGUGGCGAACGGGUGAGUAACACGUGAGUAACCUGCCCUUGACUUUGGGAUAACUUCAGGAAACUGGGGCUAAUACCGGAUAGGAGCUCCUGCUGCAUGGUGGGGGUUGGAAAGUUUCGGCGGUUGGGGAUGGACUCGCGGCUUAUCAGCUUGUUGGUGGGGUAGUGGCUUACCAAGGCUUUGACGGGUAGCCGGCCUGAGAGGGUGACCGGCCACAUUGGGACUGAGAUACGGCCCAGACUCCUACGGGAGGCAGCAGUGGGGAAUAUUGCACGAUGGGCGGAAGCCUGAUGCAGCAACGCCGCGUGCGGGAUGACGGCCUUCGGGUUGUAAACCGCUUUCGCCUGUGACGAAGCGUGAGUGACGGUAAUGGGUAAAGAAGCACCGGCUAACUACGUG
This 468-nucleotide ribosomal RNA is filed under the name uncultured bacterium. RNAcentral's name for it is "partial 16S ribosomal RNA". It matches the Rfam family "Bacterial small subunit ribosomal RNA", at positions 28 to 507 of the family's 1533-position model. The record is from RNAcentral.